This 223-nucleotide non-coding RNA is filed under the name Peptococcaceae bacterium. RNAcentral's name for it is "T-box sequence". It matches the Rfam family "T-box leader". Rfam says of the family: Uncharged tRNA acts as the effector for transcription antitermination of genes in the T-box leader family. Lineage: Bacteria; Bacillati; Bacillota; Clostridia; Eubacteriales; Peptococcaceae. The record is from RNAcentral.
GGGAAUGUGAUGAUGGGGAAGAGUACGGCAGGAGAUUCAUUCAGCGAGGGUGGAACCGGUGCGAGCCGCCUUGGAGAGACUCCCGGAAGUGCGCCUCGGAGCAGGUUAAAUGAAGGAAAGUAUUUUAACCCGUAGAGGCUGCGUUAAGGCCCAGAGUGGAACAGCAGACUUUUUUGAAGGUGCUGUUCAAACAGAGUGGAACCACGGAAUCCCCGUCUCUGGA